RNAcentral lists this long non-coding RNA (222 nucleotides) under Ananas comosus (pineapple). RNAcentral's name for it is "long non-coding RNA (ACOM_LNC020584)". Lineage: Eukaryota; Viridiplantae; Streptophyta; Magnoliopsida; Poales; Bromeliaceae. The record is from RNAcentral.
AUGAUACUUUAUAUAUGCUCAAACUUUAAUUUAUUGUAAUUUUUGCCUUGAACUUCAUGCAUUGUUGCAAUCAAACACCACAACACAAUUAGGUUGACUGAAUAUUAACGAAAUGUUAAUGUAAAAGCAAUGUGAUAUCUUAAUUAUUGCUGCAUCAUUAAUCACAACUUCCGCAUGACUGUAGGACUGACUGCAAUAAUCCUAAAAAUUUGAGUUAAAAAU